RNAcentral lists this long non-coding RNA (1200 nucleotides) under Chloebia gouldiae (Gouldian finch). RNAcentral describes it as "Erythrura gouldiae (Gouldian finch) lncRNA (ENSEGOG00005015859.1)". Lineage: Eukaryota; Metazoa; Chordata; Aves; Passeriformes; Passeridae. The record is from RNAcentral.
UGCUCCCAGUACCCCCAGUCCUGCCCUGCUCCUACCCCAGUUCCUCACUCGUCAUUCUCCAGCUCCCCCAGCCCCACCACCCCAGUUCUCCUAGUCCCUCCUCUUCCAGCACCCUCAGUUUCUCCAGCCCCCCCCAGCCCUCCCAACCAGGGCACCCAGUUCCCCCAGUACUUUUCCAGUAACUCCAUCCCAGUUCUGCACUCGGGGACCCCCAAGUACCUCCAUUCCUGCCCCGCUGAUCCUCCCAGCAGCCCAAAUCCUGCCCUGGUGCUACCCCAGUUUCCCACUCGUGAUUCUCCAGUUCCCCCAGCCCCACCAGUCCCUCUUCACCCAGUUCUCCCAGUGUCCAUACUCAGCUCUCCCAGUCCCUCCUCACCCAGCUCUCCCAGUCCCUCCUCACCCAGCUCUCCUAGUGUCCAUACCCAGCUCUCCCAGUGUCCAUACCCAGCUCUCCCAGUCCCUCUUCACCCAGCUCUCCCAGUGUCCAUACUCAGCUCUCCCAGUGUUCAUACUCAGUUCUCCCAGUCCCUCCUCACCCAGCUCUCCCAGUCUCUCCUGCCCAGAUCUCCGUCUCUUCUCCCCCACUUCUCUGAAUCCUCCUCACCCACCGCUCCCAGUCCCUCCUUCCCAGCAUUCCCAGUCUCCCCUCCUCACCCAGCUCUGCCAGUCUCUCCAUACUCAAUACUCCCAGUCCCUCCUCACCCAGUUCUCGCAAUUCCUCCUCACCCAGCUCUCCCAGUCCCUCUUUCCCAGCUCCCCAGUCCCUCCUCGCACGGUUCUAUCAAUUCCUCCUUCCCAGCUCUCCCAGUCUCUCCAUACCAGCUCUCCCAGUCCCUCUUUCCCAGCUCCACAGUCCCUCCUCGCACGGUUCUCUCAAUUCCUCCUCACCCAGCUCUCCCAGUCCCUCCUCACACGGUUCUAUCAAUUCCUCCUUCCCAGCUCUCCCAGUCUCUCCAUACCCAGCAUUCCCAGUCCCUCCCUUCCAGCUCUCCCAGUCCCUCCUCACCCAGCCCUCCCCGCUGCCCAGCUCCGACUCCCCGGUCCCCCCAAUCCCCUCAGUGUCCCCUCAGUUCUCCCUCUCCCCGCUCCGAACCUGCCCGCGCUCCCGCCCCGGCGCCUGCGCGCUCCCGCGGCUCCGCCGGCGGAUCCGGGCCCGCUGAAGCCGUUCCGGGCCCGCUGAAGCCGUUCCGGGCCCGCUGA